UCUGGAAAAAACACACUGUUACCCAAUAAAAAUAAAAAAAAUAGAAAAUGAGUGUACAGACCAGCACUGCUUGGCCCUUUAAGUGCUAAUAUUGGACCCAUCUCAGUGUCUGAUUUAGCUGAUAGCACAUCCCAGCUGACCUCUGACUUCCUCUUAUUACCCUGUUAAUCCUGAUUGCCCUAACCCAUCUGACCUACUCCCCGACUUCCUCUGAUGACGUCACUACUCUCCAGAUCAAAUGUUCCAGACCUCUCUCUCCACCCUCACUGGACCCGAGAUUCUCCUCCAAAAGUGCUGUUUCUGCAUGUCCAGCCUGACCACGGGGGGUUUCACUUCAGAUCCAAGAGGGCAUCUAAUAUCUCAUAAUGGAAACCCCAACGCUGGGGAGGACUCUGCAGUCCACGUGCAAGGAGGUCAUCUUUUUGUAAAUCUGAGAUGUGUAAGGAUUAGUAGGAGUCACACCCCUUUGGCAAUCUGAGAAAAGCUAUGGGCCUUUUCCCCAAGGAAACACGCAUUCCCACAGGAAUUUAGUGGGUUCCUGCAUCCCUGGAAGCCCAUCCACAGAAACUGGGUAACAUCUGCUUUAAGCACACAAGCAUCCUAUUUGUCAGAGGCUUUGUUACUAUUCCUUAAAACAUUCCAAUGAUCUGAAGGUUUCCAACCUUUAGGUGAUUUGGAGAGGGGCGGUGUUUCCUCCUUAAUGACAGAGGAGUUUGUGUUGCGAGAAGGCAGAUCGAGUGGUAAAUUAAGCUUAGGUCUUGUCUGGGAGAAUGAAGAUGAAAAGAAUAGCUCAAGUCUCGUGUUUUGCCAGAAGGAAAAGGAACACGGCGUCCUCACGCUCAAGGCUUGUUCUAAACUUAGCCAGCUCCCGUGGUUCCAAAGUUGGCAAAAUGAGCUCUGCACCAUCCUAAUAAACAUGCCGUGGUGCAGUGACUCACUGAGACAGCAGCCGCAUGUGGGACAUGGCUCCGUUCGCCAGCCAGACAAGGGACUGUGAAGGUGACUUCUAGAAGGAGAGACAGGUAAUGCUCCUCUGCUGUACCUGGUCCUGGUCAGUCUGUGCUGGAAGCCUGCUGUCAGCUCAAGGUACGGCACUCCUGGAGAAGUGGGCAGUUUGGUGGGGUUGGCUGGACUUGGGGUUCACCAUUAAAGGAGAAAACUGAAACUAAUGGGCAUGGUAUGGUCACCAUCUCCAAAGAGUCGGUGGGCUCUCCAGUUUGUCAGACUCUCUCUGCAGAGGCUGGGAUAAUCCUGAGGACACAGGCUCAGUAGGGUGGGAGGGACCUUCUGGGGUCAGGUGGGUGCUGAAGGUUCCUUGCAGUAAUCAGAAAGAGUGUCCAUCUGAGCAGCAAGUUGAAGUUGCAGCUGGGAAGGGAAAUAGCCCAGGGCAUCGUACAGCAGCAGGUCCGAGAGGCGAUGGAGUCUGGGACAGGUGGCCCAGGCCAGGAGGCUGAGCAUUGGAACGGUGCAGAACAUGGGCCCUGAACAGGGCAGGAACGUACAAGCUUGCUCCAGGUGGGGAGUGGCCUCCUGGCACCUAGGGAGGUCAGACGGCCCAAUGGGGUGGGCUCUGCUGGGCAUCAUAGCAGAAGCAUGAUGUCAUGUUAGUCAUGUUCCAUGAUGCCCUCAGGAGAAAACUAGGACUGAUGGGAGAAGCUUGAAGAAGUCAAUCCGAUGUAAGGAAGGGUUCCUCAGCCACGCCCACAGCUACUGAGCAACGAAAUGGAAGGUGGUGAACUCCCUGGCAUUAGAAGGCUUCAAGCAGAUCCUCUUGGUGGGAAGAGUAGAGAGCAGAUUCGAGCACCCUUCAGACCUCAACAGUCUUUGGCUUGGAUUCCUCCAGGAGCCUUGUGGAAGGAGAAGGGCAGAAAUUAAUUUCUCCUUUUCCAUAGUGGGAAAGUCAAGACCCAGACUGAACGCUGCACCCAAGGUCACAGAGAAAGGCAGCAGAACUGGGAACAAAACCCACAUCUGCUCCUUCCCAAGCCCCAGACUUUCCCAUCUGCUUUCCCAACUGGCGUCCCAGCCUGUGCUAUUUUGGGCUGUCUCCUCCACCAGGACAGAGGGCGCCUAUGGGACCGGCACGGCUUUGCCUGCUGGCUGCCAGACUUCCCUCACAAUCCUUUACACUGGAAUCCCAGGAAUCUGUGUGUCAAGGUACACACUUAGAAAAACAGUGACUUGGCUGAAGAAAGGCUGCCAACUUGGAAUCUCUACUAAAAGGAAGUGGGUUAUGAAAAGGGUUCCAGCCCCUGUCCUGCUGCUGCCACUGGAGGGGCUAUUGGAUGAGCUGAAAAUGCCAUGAAUCCUGAGAAUCCAGUAGAUUGGGAGACCUUGUCAGGCUAUGGCCUGUUCAUUCAUUUGCUUCUUUGGACAUUAAACCUACAUAGUUUAAGUACCUAUGGAGCUACAACAAAAGCUUUCAAACAUCUAUGAUGGGCCGGCUGAGUGGCGCGUUGGUUAAGAACUGGCUUGGGAUGCCAGAGGGCCCCGGUUCGGAUCCCACAU
This is a long non-coding RNA of Hipposideros armiger (great roundleaf bat), 2508 nucleotides long. RefSeq lists it as uncharacterized. The transcript has 3 exons. Lineage: Eukaryota; Metazoa; Chordata; Mammalia; Chiroptera; Hipposideridae. The record is from RefSeq and is a predicted model, not a curated record.